GGGCCCGCACAAGCGGAGGAACAUGUGGUUUAAUUCGAUGAUACGCGAGGAACCUUACCCGGGCUUAAAUUGCACUGGACAGGCCGAGAGAUCGGUUUUUCUUCGGACCAGUGUGAAGGUGCUGCAUGGUUGUCGUCAGCUCGUGCCGUGAGGUGUCGGCUUAAGUGCCAUAACGAGCGCAACCCUUGCUUCCAGUUACCAUCAGGUCAUGCUGGGGACUCUGGAAGGACUGCCAUCGUAAGAUGUGAGGAAGGUGGGGAUGACGUCAAAUCAGCACGGCCCUUACGUCCGGGGCUACACACGUGUUACAAUGGGGGGUACAGAAGGCAGCUACCGGGCGACCGGACGCCAAUCCCAAAAACCUCUCUCAGUUCGGACUGGAGUCUGCAACCCGACUCCACGAAGCUGGAUUCGCUAGUAAUCGCGCAUCAGCCACGGCGCGGUGAAUACGUUCCCGGGCCUU
RNAcentral lists this ribosomal RNA (463 nucleotides) under uncultured bacterium. RNAcentral describes it as "bacterial SSU rRNA". It matches the Rfam family "Bacterial small subunit ribosomal RNA", at positions 917 to 1382 of the family's 1533-position model. The record is from RNAcentral.